GUGUUGGCUUCGGCAGCACACACACUAAAAUUGGAAUGACACAGAGAAGACAAGAAUGGACCCUGAGGGGUGGGAUGAAAAAAAAAAAAAAAAAAGAAUGGUCCCUGAGCAAGGAUGACGCAAAUUCAUGAAGAGUGCUUUAUUUUU
RNAcentral lists this small nuclear RNA (147 nucleotides) under Mesocricetus auratus (golden hamster). The record is from RNAcentral. Lineage: Eukaryota; Metazoa; Chordata; Mammalia; Rodentia; Cricetidae.